Molecule: unclassified non-coding RNA, 431 nt
Filed under: Clostridioides difficile T5
Lineage: Bacteria; Bacillati; Bacillota; Clostridia; Peptostreptococcales; Peptostreptococcaceae
Also listed under: 2 other names
Description: RNAIII
Source: RNAcentral
UAACUAAAUUAAAAUAUUUUAUUGAAUAUUAUAAAUUUAUGGCAUUUAAUUUUAUUAAAAAGUAAUUUAUAAAAUUAUAUAUAAAUAAUAAUUAAAUGAAUCAAAUGAUUUUAAUUCACUAUAUGAUUAUAAUAUAGUGAUGAUUUCUUAUGAUUUCAAUAAUUUAUUAUAUACAAAAUAAUAUAAAAGAUUUAGUAAGAUAUUAUUUUAUUUAUAAAAAUUAGGAUUAAUUUAUAAUGUUAAUAUUAAAAAACAAAUUUAUUUAAAUUUAAAAUUUUGUUUAUUAUUAAAGCGUAAAUAUAAUUAUUAAUAAUAUAUAGUAUUUGUAAUAAAAUAUCAAUAAUUAGAAAGAUUAUGAAAAUUAAAUUAGAAGUUACUAAAAACUAUAUUUUUAUUACUUAGAAUACUUGAAUAAUUUCUUUAAUCAUGUA